UACGGAGGGGGCCAGCGUUGUUCGGAAUUAUUGGGCGUAAAGGGCGCGUAGGCGGCCGGAUAAGUCUGAUGUGAAAUCCCCGGGCUUAACCUGGGAACUGCAUUUGUGACUGCAAGGCUGGAGUGCGGCAGAGGGGGAUGGAAUUCCGCGUGUAGCAGUGAAAUGCGUAGAGAUGUGGAGGAACACCGAUGGCGAAGGCAGCCUCCUGGGCCGACACUGACGCUGAGGGCACGAAAGCGUGGGGAGCAAACAGG
Molecule: ribosomal RNA, 254 nt
Filed under: uncultured bacterium
Lineage: Bacteria
Description: partial 16S ribosomal RNA
Rfam family: Bacterial small subunit ribosomal RNA
Source: RNAcentral